RNAcentral lists this unclassified non-coding RNA (415 nucleotides) under soil metagenome. RNAcentral's name for it is "partial contains 5.8S ribosomal RNA, internal transcribed spacer 2, and large subunit ribosomal RNA". The stretch from base 1 to 120 matches the Rfam family "5.8S ribosomal RNA", at positions 35 to 154 of the family's 154-position model. The record is from RNAcentral.
GAUGAAGAACGUAGCGAAAUGCGAUAAGUAAUGUGAAUUGCAGAAUUCAGUGAAUCAUCGAAUCUUUGAACGCACCUUGCACUCCUUGGUAUUCCGAGGAGUACGCCUGUUCGAGUGUUAUGAAGCUCUCAAAACGCAAUUGGCUUAAAACCUGAUUGUUGUUUUGGAUUUGAACUUUGCCGUGUUAUAACGGCUGGUUUUAAAAGUAUUAGCUGGUACUAGAACGAAUUGGUUCUACUCAACGUGAUAAUUAUCUGAUCGUUGAGGACAUUCCUUUCACGAGGAAUGGCCAUAGUAAAUUCAAUGGACUGCUUCUAAUCUGGCUUUAAUUCUUUAUUGGAUUAACCACUUUUCAAAUCUGACCUCGAAUCAGGUGGGACUACCCGCUGAACUUAAGCAUAUCAAUAGCGGAGGA